GGAGACGUACUCAAGUGGUUAAGAGGACACCCUGCUAAGGUGUUAGAGGCUCUGCUGGCAUGCGUUCGAAUCGCAUCGUCUCCGCCA
This 87-nucleotide transfer RNA is filed under the name Mycoplasmataceae bacterium. RNAcentral describes it as "tRNA-Ser". It matches the Rfam family "tRNA". Rfam says of the family: Transfer RNA (tRNA) molecules are approximately 80 nucleotides in length. Their secondary structure includes four short double-helical elements and three loops (D, anti-codon, and T loops). The record is from RNAcentral. Lineage: Bacteria; Bacillati; Mycoplasmatota; Mollicutes; Mycoplasmatales; Mycoplasmataceae.